Zingiber officinale is the source of this 499-nucleotide long non-coding RNA. RefSeq lists it as uncharacterized. The record is from RefSeq and is a predicted model, not a curated record. Lineage: Eukaryota; Viridiplantae; Streptophyta; Magnoliopsida; Zingiberales; Zingiberaceae. The transcript is spliced from 4 exons.
CUUCGUAUCCCAUCCGAUCUGAUUUCGGUAGACUGUAGAGGUUUUCCCUUGGAAUAUUCGAUCGAUUUACUCUCCACAAAAGAGCCCUCUUCAUUUAAUGCAUUUCUCCAUUUUCGUUCUUCUAAACCCUCUUUCCUCGUGCAUCAAACCAAGUAGUGAUGAUCGAUUAGUGUUGAGUGAUCUUUGCAGCCUCUUCUGAUCAAGCAUUAAAAUUUUCACUAGCAAAUCAUGAAGAGUCUGGCCUGAUAAUAGGUGGCCUGAGAUGCAAGAACAUCGUCAAUCCAUGCGACAAUGUUGAAUGCCAAGCUCUCCAACACCCUCGAGUAGCUCUCAAGAAUUGCGUGCCCCAAAUCCUGCAGGUGUCAAGAGUUGUCUGUGCCAAGCCAGGAUGCCUUUGUUUCAAAGAGAGCAGUAGGAUCUCAGCUCUGCUUGCGAGCAUCUCGUUCUUGUUUUCUUCACCUAUUAGAUCUUUGACCAUGCCCCAGGAGGAUUUGGAUGC